This 148-nucleotide non-coding RNA is filed under the name Gorilla gorilla gorilla (western lowland gorilla). Lineage: Eukaryota; Metazoa; Chordata; Mammalia; Primates; Hominidae. The record is from Rfam by way of RNAcentral.
GCCAGGCAUGGUGGUGCGUGCCUGUAAUCCCAGCUAUGCAGGAGGCUGAGACAGGAGAAUAGCUUGAACCCAGGAGGCAGAGGUUGCAGUGAGCCGAGAUCACACCACUGCACGCCAGCCUGGGUGACAAAGCAAGACUCUGUCUCAA